AUUAAACGCUGGCGGCAUGCCUUACACAUGCAAGUCGAACGGCAGCACGGGAGCAAUCCUGGUGGCGAGUGGCGAACGGGUGAGUAAUAUAUCGGAACGUGCCCAGUCGUGGGGGAUAACGUAGCGAAAGCUACGCUAAUACCGCAUACUAUCUAUGGAUGAAAGCGGGGGAUCGCAAGACCUCGCGCGAUUGGAGCGGCCGAUAUCAGAUUAGGUAGUUGGUGAGGUAAAGGCUCACCGAGCCGACGAUCUGUAGCUGGUCUGAGAGGACGACCAGCCACACUGGGACUGAGACACGGCCCAGACUCCUACGGGAGGCAGCAGUGGGGAAUAUUGGACAAUGGGCGAAAGCCUGAUCCAGCAAUGCCGCGUGUGUGAUGAAGGCCUUAGGGUUGUAAAAGCUCUUUUACUGGGGGAUGAUAAUGACAGUACCCAGAGAAUAAAGCUCCGGCUAACUCCGUGCCAGCAG
Molecule: ribosomal RNA, 469 nt
Filed under: uncultured bacterium
Lineage: Bacteria
Description: bacterial SSU rRNA
Rfam family: Bacterial small subunit ribosomal RNA
Source: RNAcentral